GACGAACGCUGGCGGCGUGCUUAACACAUGCAAGUCGAACGGAAAGGCCCUGCUUGCAGGGUGCUCGAGUGGCGAACGGGUGAGUAACACGUGGGUGAUCUGCCCCUUACUUUGGGAUAAGCCUGGGAAACUGGGUCUAAUACUGGAUAGGACCAUGCUGUAGGUGGUGUGGUGGAAAGAUUAGUUUCGGUAAGGGAUGAGCUCGCGGCCUAUCAGCUUGUUGGUGGGGUAAUGGCCUACCAAGGCGUCGACGGGUAGCCGGCCUGAGAGGGUGGACGGCAACAUUGGGACUGAGAUACGGCCCAGACUCCUACGGGAGGCAGCAGUGGGGAAUAUUGCACAAUGGGCGCAAGCCUGAUGAAGCGACGCCGCGUGGGGGAUGACGGCCUUCGGGUUGUAAACUCCUUUCAGCCAUGACGAAGCCCUUGUGGUGACGGUAGUGGUAGAAGAAGCACCGGCUAACUACGUG
Molecule: ribosomal RNA, 469 nt
Filed under: uncultured bacterium
Lineage: Bacteria
Description: partial 16S ribosomal RNA
Rfam family: Bacterial small subunit ribosomal RNA
Source: RNAcentral